ACCGAGUACUCUGCUCAUUCCCUGUGAACCUAUCUGUUGCCUCGGCAGGGAGCUCUGCUAGGCGGCGGCCCCUGGGCCUCCGCACCUGCCAAGGCCUUCAUACCAUUCAGUAGUUAUCAGAGUAAGCUUGAACAAGCAAAACAACCAAAACUUUCAACAAUGGAUCUCUUGGUUCUGGCAUCGAUGAAGAACGCAGCGAAAUGCGAUAAAUAAUGUGAAUUGCAGACGUCCGUGAAUCAUUGAGUUUUUGAACGCACAUUGCGCCUAUUAGUACUCUAGUAGGCAUGCCUAUCCGAGCGUCGUGCUCUACUUCCAGCGGCAUCCUUGCGGUUGCCGCCGGGCGCUGGCGAUUGCUGGGAAGCCGAUCGCCGAAAUACAGUGGCUAGCGGGAAGGCAGCAUUCUACGUAGUAAAUCAAUCGUCUAAUCUGUCCUCCGGCUACGCCUGGCUCAAACAGUUGACCUCGGAUUAGGUGGGAAUACCCGCAUGAGACUUAA
This 496-nucleotide ribosomal RNA is filed under the name uncultured fungus. RNAcentral describes it as "eukaryotic LSU rRNA". The stretch from base 149 to 302 matches the Rfam family "5.8S ribosomal RNA". Lineage: Eukaryota; Fungi. The record is from RNAcentral.